This 310-nucleotide ribosomal RNA is filed under the name uncultured bacterium. RNAcentral's name for it is "bacterial SSU rRNA". It matches the Rfam family "Bacterial small subunit ribosomal RNA", at positions 1162 to 1475 of the family's 1533-position model. The record is from RNAcentral.
AUGGGAGGAAGGUUGGGAGGACGUCUGGUCGUCAUGGCCUAAAUAAACUGGGCUACAUACGUGCUACAAUGGUAAUUACAAUGAGAAGCGAAAAUGUGAAUUUAAGCAAAUCUUUUAUAAAAAUUAUCUUAGUUCGGAUUGUUUCUGCAACACGGAAACAUGAAGUGGGAAUCGCUAGUAAUCGCGUAUCAGCAUGAUGCGGUGAAUACUUUACAAACCCUAGUACACACCGCCCGUCACGCGGCGGAAAUUGGCACUGGCAGACAUAAAGCUGGGGGGUUGUUUAGUUUAUUUUUACCCAAACAGUAAU